GACGAACGCUGGCGGCGUGCUUAACACAUGCAAGUCGAACGGAAAGGCCCUGCUUUUGUGGGGUGCUCGAGUGGCGAACGGGUGAGUAACACGUGAGUAACCUGCCCUUGACUUUGGGAUAACUUCUGGAAACUUGGGCUAAUACCGGAUAGGAGCUCCUGCUGCAUGGUGGGGGUUGGAAAGUUUCGGCGGUUGGGGAUGGACUCGCGGCUUAUCAGCUUGUUGGUGGGGUAGUGGCUUACCAAGGGUUUGACGGGUAGCCGGCCUGAGAGGGUGACCGGGAACAUUGGGACUGAGAUACGGACCAGACUCCAACGGGAGGCAGCAGUGGGGAAUAUUGCACAAUGGGCGGAAGCCUGAUGCAGCAACGCCGCGAGCGGGAUGACGGCCUUGGGGUUGUAAACCGAUUUCGCCUGUGACGAAGCGUGAGUGACGGUAAUGGGUAAAGAAGCACCGGCUAACUACGUG
This 468-nucleotide ribosomal RNA is filed under the name uncultured bacterium. RNAcentral's name for it is "partial 16S ribosomal RNA". It matches the Rfam family "Bacterial small subunit ribosomal RNA", at positions 28 to 507 of the family's 1533-position model. The record is from RNAcentral.